This 1632-nucleotide ribosomal RNA is filed under the name Triticum aestivum (bread wheat). RNAcentral's name for it is "partial small subunit ribosomal RNA". Lineage: Eukaryota; Viridiplantae; Streptophyta; Magnoliopsida; Poales; Poaceae. The record is from RNAcentral.
AUGGAUGAACAGAGAAUAGCUUGCAUAUCUGUCACUUGGAGAGGCAGGCAACUUGACGUUGAUGCAGACCCAAGCUGUACGGUGAAGGAAUUUGGGCGACUGCUCCAGGAUUUGACUAUUUUUAAACCAGAGAUGUUGAAGUUCAUAGUUCCACAAUCUGCAAGUAAAGGUUCCAAGCUGAUCAGUCCAUUUUUAGACCCCCAUUCAAGCUUAACACUGGAAGAAGCUGCUGUCAGCAGGCCCCGUGUUUCACUAAAACUUCCACAGGGGCAAUACAUCUUCUGUGAUUUUCGGACACUUCACUUACCCGGGGCUGAGUUGAAUCCACCACCUUCAGAAGCUCUGAAAAGAAUGCACAUGCUUGCUUGUGACCCCGGCAUAAUUGCGAUCAUGAACAAGCAUAGAUGGCAAGUGGGAAUCAUGACUGAAAUGGCACCAGUGGGAUAUGUAGGUGUUAGUCCAAAAUGCAUUAUAGGCUUCAAUAAGAACAUGGGAGAGGAGAUACCCCUUCGCCUACGAACUGAUGAUUUGAAAGGAUUUCGGAAAUACGAAAGUAUCAAGAAAACUCUGCUCCAUGAACUUGCGCAUAAGGUGCACUCUGAGCAUGAUGCCCACUUUUUCGCUCUUAAUAAGCAGGAAGCUGCGUCCUUGGACUGGACCAAAUCAAGUGAACAUGUGCUGAGUGGCCGCAAAAUAUUUGAUUCCUAUGAAGAUGAAUUUGAUUUAGAACCGGAAGAUCAUGUUGUCGGUCACAAGCUUGGGGGUGGAUCGAGUUCACUGGCAAGUGCCUGUGUGUUGCAAGGAGUAGCUGCUUAUCAGCUUCUCUUGAGUGCAUCAUCAACAGAUUUGGGGAGUUCCCACAGUAGUGUUACUAAAUCUGUGGAGAAAUAUAAUGUGCAGGGUACACAAGCUGAACCUGAUCCGGAUGAUGCUGGUCAGGAUUUUAUUCAGGAAAAUGUGAAGGCGGAACCAGGCCCAGAUGAUAAUGAUGCCAUGCCUAUUGAUGUAGGAUCAGCAGGUUUUGUGGCAUCUACAGAGCAGAAUACCAGAGGUUAUUCUGAGCCUGUUCCUGAUGAUGUUGCCAAGAAAAGCUCUGUUGGUUGCCUAGAACCUGAUCCUGAUGAUUCGGCAGAUGUUGACAUGCUUAACAAGGAGAUCAAUGGUGAGCAUGAUAAUGAACCUGAUCUGAUGAUGGUACUAAGCAGAAAACACUCAGUUUUGGAGUCUGAACCUAACCCUGACGAUCAUGCUGCUAAUUUAAAGAGAGAUGAACUGCAAAGAAUAGAAGAGCCAGCUAUUGAAAUGCUUCGGUCGCAAGCUACACCUUCAGAGGCAUCCUCUGCACUUCAAACACUCUUCAAAAUUAUCAAGAAUGUGAUAGAGAACCCAAAUGAACCCAAGAAGAUUGCGCAAGGUAUGCUUGGUUUCUGUAUGUUAUGCUUUACCAAUUCGCAUUUCCAAAGGAGCGUGGCGAAUUACAAAGCUCCGAUGGAGGUCCUCGAGUUGAUUGGCUUCCGCGAGGAUGUGGUCUCGGAUGAGAUUGGGCGUGCGGAGACCUACCUGGUUCUGAAAAGGAAGGAUCUUGUGUUGCUGUGGCUUGCGAAGUCCUCUCUUGAAGUAUCCAUGGCUUGA